AGGACGAACGCUGGCGGCGUGCCUAACACAUGCAAGUCGAACGGAACUGACGCCGGUCUUCGGAACCAUGUCAGUUAGUGGCGGACGGGUGAGUAACGCGUGAGUAACCUGCCUCUGAGAGGGGAAUAACGUUCUGAAAAGAACGCUAAUACCGCAUAACAUAUAGAAGUCGCAUGGCUUUUAUAUCAAAGAUUUUAUCGCUCGGAGAUGGACUCGCGUCCGAUUAGUUAGUUGGUGAGGUAACGGCUCACCAAGACCGCGAUCGGUAGCCGGACUGAGAGGUUGAACGGCCACAUUGGGACUGAGACACGGCCCAGACUCCUACGGGAGGCAGCAGUGGGGGAUAUUGCGCAAUGGGGGCAACCCUGACGCAGCAACGCCGCGUGAAGGAUGAAGGUUUUCGGAUUGUAAACUUCUUUUAUCAGGGACGAAUUUUGACGGUACCUGAUGAAUAAGCUCCGGCUAACUACGUGCCAGCAGCAGC
Molecule: ribosomal RNA, 484 nt
Filed under: uncultured bacterium
Lineage: Bacteria
Description: bacterial SSU rRNA
Rfam family: Bacterial small subunit ribosomal RNA
Source: RNAcentral